AAUCUUUUUUUUUUAAAGUGCCAUGUAGAUGCAGUCUAUGCAGAUGGAAGACUUUUUUUGUUUGUUUGGUGUAGGAAUACCAUUUCCCCCAAACAGUGGUAGCUACAUCAACAGAAGUCGUCUUCCUUCAGAAUAGCAGUGUCUACACUGGAUAUUAGGUCAGCAUAACUAGAUUGGUCAGGGAUGUGGUUUUUCCCCCCCCAAUCCCUCAUAACAUAGCUGUGUUGACCUAACUUUUAAGUGUAGGCCUGGCCUCAGAGGAAGUCAGCAUAACCAAGCUGAUGCAGCAUCCAGAUUGCCAUAGAAGGGAAUUGGAGUCAGGAAAGUCAGAUGGUGUUUAAAAGACAGCUUGGGAAAGGGGAAGAGUAACCGAAGAAUAAAAAUAGUUCCUCUUUUAAAGGGAUGGAGAAAAUUUAGAAUGCUCAAAGACCAUGCAAAUGUGUACAAUAGCUAAUCACUCUAUGUAAGAGACUAGAUAAAGUGUAAUUCUAAGAUAGCAUUUAGAAGCUGAGCCUAUGGUUAGGUCCUUAUGGAUUCUGUGACUGUGGAAUUUGCAAUGGAAUUCAGCCCUUCCCACAGAAUUGUGAUCCAGAAUCUCAACUUCUUACUUUAAUUAAUAAAAAUAAAUAAAUAAAAAAAAUCUAGCCCUUAUAGUUUCGAAGAUAACUUUGAGAAUGUGAACUGUGCAACCCAAUGCCUGUCUGAGUUUGCAAAGAACCUGAAACAAUGGUUCUAAGAGAUGUGAACAUCCCAAAUCAUCUCAUUUGGAACCUCAUGGACUCUGAUUGUGUGGCUGUAGAAUCUAGCAUUUUUCCAAGAUUCUACAGAAUCAAGCACUUUUGCUGCUACUGGGCACCCAACAUCUUGUGUUGUCUCCCUGCCCCGCUGGGACAUAGCAAGCAGCAGCUGUUGACCUGCACCUUUUCCCACAAAGUCGAAUUAAAUGGAUUAUAGUGCUACCUUACUGUUUCAUAGAACCAGGCAAGGGUGGUUGGGUGAUGUAUGUGCCAAGGAGCCAGAGCUUGAGUUUAGUUUGCAGCCAGGGAGUGAAAGGAGCCAAUAGUGCAGGCUGGCCAGUUAGGCUGCCUAGAGAAUGCAGCAGCAGCUGAGGCCUGAGGAGGUAAGAAGAUGAACAGAUUAACUUUCCUCCAGAAUUUAGGUGUCUUACCUGCAAAAUUUUGUUCCAUUGUGCCACAGUUUACAUGCACCUUGCUUAUAGGGAUCAAGAACCUUUCUUAAAGGGACAUUGUUAGACUUCACACUUCUGAUUAAUAGUAUGCUAGAUACAUAACUUUCAAAUAAUACCCAUUGUUACUAUGAUUUGAAAGAUACUGGUGAAAGUCUUUCAGGUUUUUUAGUAUUCAGUGAUUUUUUUUUUCUUUCAUACAGCACUUUUGUUGUUUUCCUUGUAUAAUCAGUCACUUUCUCCCUCUGUGUAAAGAUCCUUUAUAAGCAUCAGCGAGAUGCAGAAAAAUAUUAUACAUUUUCUUUUAAAAAUAAAAUCAGGGCAUACUGUUUAAAGGACACUCUAUCAGACAGGAAUUUUACAAAUACUAUUCCAUUUAAAAAUGCAAGUUGAUAGUAUCCUUUAAAACGCUCUUUUAAAAUAAAUCCUUUUCUUCUUCUUGGAAAUUGCAUGUUAUCUGUAUGUGGAAUGGAAAAGGGGAAUGGUAAUGGAGUAUGGAGGCUCUUAAUGCUUAGUCUGUAGUUCAGAUCUUUUGCAGGUCUGUAGUGAUAAAAAGCAGUUAUCUGAUGGUUGUUGCUUGACGUAAGUCAAAGGAGUGGAGGAUACCAGUCCAUCUUGCAUUAUAAGAGAACACCAUUUGGUACCUGUGCUAACAUUCAUCAUAGAGAGAUUUGCAAGGUGAAUUACCCAGUCACAUCUAGGUCUUGUCUACAUUAGUGAUAUUUGACAUGCUAACAACUGUUGGAACCUGAAACAUACCAUGUAUCUGCACGGGUGUGCUGUACUUGCUCUGAAAAGACCAACAGUGACAUCUGUCACCAUGUUGAUCAGCACUGGCAGGUUCAGUGCCAGCAUAGACAGCAGUGACUGGCAUAAGAGUUUCACUGAUUUAAUUAGUCCUUCUGUGACCAUCCACAGUGUAUUGGGCGCUGCUUCUGUAGCUCAGCUUGUCCAUCUUCUGGUCCAAGGGCAAGAUUUCUGAAAUCCUUCACUUAUACAAAUAGCUCUGCACAUCCUCUAGAUCUCAGUGUGCACUAUUUAUGAAUAGUAUUGACUUCUUUGCAACUGCUGUGUGUUAACAAGUCCACCUCAGAAUAUGUCUCAGAAGAAGACAACAUUGUAUAAGCGUGCUGCCAGCUGGCCUAAGGCAAUGAUCCAGGUGCUUGUAAAUAUCUACCUUAGGCAUGCUCUGUAAGCCGUAACAUCCUGGUGUACGGCUUUGUGUCUGAACAAUUGCACACCUAUGGAGUCUGAGAUAAUGGUGGACAACAUCCAGACACUUGAAAAUGGGCUGUUGAGGGACCUGCAGGAUGGGGAGGAGAAUUCCGUCUCCAUUGGCCUCUCUGACCUGGGGCCCAGUGAUACCUGAUAAUCUGAAGAGGUCUUGGAAUCACAGCAGAGACUUGCAGGCUGGAGAGGACAAUGACCCUGGAGGCCAGGGGACAUCUACACAAGAGACCACUUCUGCAACAAAGGUGUAAGUGGGAAAUGCUGGCAUGUUACAUAGAAGGACUUGGGAGCACAAGUGACAGUGUUUGGCAAAUCGAAGGACAAGGAGAUGAGCCAAAAGAAGAUCUGUUCCUCAGCCUUCAGAGGGAUGUGAAAAGAAACUGACAGAAUUUAAGUUCAAGGAUGAAAAUUCUACCAUUUUUGAAUGCCACGGCAGACCUAGAUAGGCAGAGAGAAUCCAUUAUGGACUCCAUAUAUCCUGAUACAGUAAUGGGGGACUGCAAGAGCUCUACUGUAAGGGGGUACAUGCAACAUCAAAGGCAGCUUGGUCAGUUAACCCAUUCAUGGGUCCCUGCACCUGUUCAGUAUGUUCAGUAUUCUUGGCAUAGUGCUGUGAUAUAGGACAGGCGAAGCUCUUAUUGAACUGCACAAUGUUCACCUGCUCUUUCCUGUAAGGCCCAAAACACUCCAUUCCUGCCUGUAAGAUGGACAUGAAUUUCAUGCCUCAGUAGGCCAGAAAACAGAAUAGAGUUGGUUACUGUAGAUGGCCUGCAUGUUUGAGAGAAAUAAUGCCAAAUCAAUUUUAAGUACAAGUGUACUUUUUUUUCCUUUUGAAGACCAAAACUGUUUCAUUAAUCCAUUACCUUCCUCAACCAAAACUAUAAAUUCAGAAAAAUACUUCUGUUUCAUGAGGUCAAAGCUUAUGUGGGAAAAUAUAUUUAGUAGCAUAAAAUGCAUAAUUAAAUGUUAGCUACUUAGCUGCCUCAGUGAAGUCCAUACCCUCCCCCCCAAUGUGUUCUGUGGAAGGGUUUAAGUGUAUUAAUCAUUGUCUUACCGUUGUAACAUUGUGGUUCACUGUUUGUAACAAGAGUAGGCUUGUGUAACUUUAUGGGAACAACUACCAUAAAACCCUUUUAACCAUUUAUUAAAUACAUAAUGUAAAAACUUGUCCGUCUGACAUUGACAUUAAGGUAAUGGAGUGGCUGAUAUGGAACUCAAUUAAUAAUGAAUUAAAGGCGGGUAAUAUAGUUACUUUCCAUGAACCCAUAGUAAUUGGAAUUAAGUCCUAUCAAACUAUCAACCAAAUUUUUAAUGGCAUCAAAAAGUUAAAGGUAAUAGCAUUGAUCCAAUCUAUUUAGACUUCUGUCAGGUGUUUGACGUGGUGCUGCAUGACAUUUUUGAUUUUAAACAAAUUGGGAUACAAAAUUAACAUGGCACGCAUUAAUGGAUUAAAAACUGGCUAACUGAUCUGUCACAAAAUGUCAUUAACGGAAUCAUCAUUGAACGAGUGAGUUUCUAGUGGGGCCAUGCAGGGAUGGUUCUUGGCUCUAUGCUAUUUAACAUCUAACAUAUUUUUAUCUGUGAUCUGCAAGAAUACUUAAAAUAAUCACUGAUAAAGUUUGCAAAUGACAAGCAAUUGGGGGGGGGGGUUUAAAUCGUCAUCUCAUUAACAUUUUUUUAGUCCCCUCUAAUUUUGCAGUCUCCUUCUAGACCUGAUGUGAUUAGUAUUCUAUUCCAUGUGAUGUUUUCUUCAUCUCAUUCCUUAUGCAUCCUAAUACCUUGUUUGUUUGCUUUUAUUUUUUAAAAUCACCAUUGAGCAGAGAUCUUCAUUGAGCUGUCUAUAGUCAGGCCUAGGUGCAUUUUAUGAGUUGAUAGCUAAUUUAGAACCCUGUAAGCUGUAUGAGCAGUUAAACUGUCUUCCUCCUCUGUGACUGACUUUGCAUUUAUCAACUAUUUGUAUUAGUAUAGUGUCUAGGAGCCCUAAUAAUUUCCAUUUUCCAAAUUCAGUUGGAGUGUGGAAAGUGAAGCAGAGAGAGCUAGCAACUUGUCAGACCUCACAUACUGUAGCAAAUAACUGGCAAAAUGGGGAAUAUUGCUUUCUUGACACAUCCUGAUUCCAACCAAGCUGCUUCUAUAAGAGUUCCAGUGCCUAACCACUGUUGUAAAUCACGAUCUAUGCUAAUAUCUAUUUAAUUCUAUAUGAAGCAGCAUAUCAAUACAUCAUAUUCCAUAAGUAUUAAAGGUGUUUUUCCCCCAUGUUUGCUGGUCACCUUGGCCACCUGUAUGAUCCCAUAGAGGUGUGCUUUAACGCAGGAUAAAAUAUUGACAUCAGCAGAAUACUCAAAACAACCUGGAGUCCUGAAACUUCCUUUUAGUAUAGUGCAGAAUCACCAAAUGAUGACUACAAAAUACUACAUACUUGGGGCGGGGGAAGCUUGUCCAUGAACUUUUAUCUUUAUCUGCAAACUAUUAAGUAUUAACUGUAAUAAAAGGUAAAUGGGUUUCUCACUACUGCUCAAUGCAUUACAUUGAAUGUUAAGGGUCCAAACCGUACAGAAUAAAAUGCAUGCAUUGACUGGUACAAAUUCACUAAAAUCUGACCCUUAACAGCACUAUGAGCCACUAUUGCAAACCCUGAGAUGAGAGCUAUGUACCAGCAACUCCUGUUAAAGGUGUUGAGCCCUCACAAUUCCCAGUAACUCAAGAGAGGUUUAAAAAAUGUAGAGGUGUAAAACUGUUGAACUGUAAUUGAUAGACACUGAGGGAAGGCACUUAAUCUUUAUGGUCCUUUCUAUGCUAUAGUUACAAAUGUCAACACAUUAUAACAACUUUAUUUUGCAUGUGUAGAUUAGAGCAGUCUGUUAUCUCACUGGGCAUAGCUGUGUUGUAAUUGUAGUGCAGAUGGGGGUCCAAAAUGAUAGAUAUCUAAAUAGGCUUCCAGACUUGUACAUUGUGCUAGUAAUGUACCAAACUGGUAAGUUCAGUUGGCAUUUUAAACUGGUGGAUGAGGCUAACGCACACUGUGUGUGUGUAAUAUAUAUACAUUUUUUUAUUUUAUUUUAUUUUUUGGUGUGGGGUGGAGAGAUGGGGCACUUGAGUUGGCAACGUGAUCCUCCUUCAUUGGAAGUGUUGUCAUUUUUCUUUAAAGCAAAUAGAAUUAGAUCCAAGAAACUAAACAGCUGCAGUACAUAUUUUGGAAGGUCAUUAGGGAAAACCUAUAAUGGAGAGGUUUUAAAAUUUCUUCUGUUGAGCCAUUUGAAAAGAGAUCAUACUUGAGAAUUCCUUUUAAAUUUUUUAAAAUAUUGUUUCUUCCAGCUCCUAAAAUCCAAAUCAUGAAACUUGGGUUCUCUUCUGUUUCAUAUUGGACUUUUUUGUUUGUUGCUGAAGUAGUGGCUUUGGCCCUUUAUACUUUCUAUUUUUAAGCAUGCACUCAUGGGGAUAGCUAUUUCUGAGAGCAUAUCUAAAGGUAUUCAGUAUAUUUGCACAGGAAGCCUUUUUUCAGUGAAUCUCAUAUAAGAUGAUUUUUUUCUUAUUCUCAAACCAGAGUCUAUUAAAGUUGUUUAUACAAUUGGGGCUUUAAAAUAGUCAGUGGGAAAACUUAACACUGAACUCCAGAGUUAAAAGAAAUUAAAUCUCCAUAUUUAUAAUUUCUGUAACUGCUGGGUGCAUGCAGUAGUUUGGAAAAUUAAAUCAGCCCUAAGAAGUUUUCUGGUGGCUUGAAUAAAAUGUACAAGCCUGAGAUGUGUGUUUUUAAUCCUAUCAAAACAAUCCUAAUUCUCACAAAUUGAAGUGCAGGUUGCCAACAAAUUUAUACCUCUAUGCUUUUUAAAAUCUCAUAGACAAAGUACAGCAGUUUAAUGAACCUAUAUACUUUCACACAGUGAGAUAGCUGACCCUUAAAAGGGGGCGGGCGGGCGCAGAGUCAGCUAGCUGUAGUGGGAAGGGAGGGAUAGGAUGCCGUGUAGAAGACUGACAAGAGCAGUAUUAGGCUGUGUAUCCCCAGUCAGUCUUACUCAGUAUGCCUUUCCUCUGCUGUUUAGGGUGUGGUGUGUGGUUUUUUUUUUUUUAAACGCUGGCAAGUGCCACAUUGUAUGCUGUUAAUGCUACCCCUGAGAUGUAGAAUAGCUUUCUAUAUAUUUAUAGCAUGCCUCUUGAAAUGCUCCUCAUUUCAAGUGAUCUCAUUCAUCUUAUUCUCAAAGUUACCAGUACCACAAACUUCUUGUCCUUGACUUUUCACUUCUAAAAAUAUUUACAACAGAAAUGAGCUUUAAAAGAUAGUUAUACACUGAAGGAAUGAGUCCCAUGUCAGCAGGAGUUUCCUGCAUGAAUAACUUUUUGUGUUCCUUGUCAUGUGAAAGAUUCAAAAUAUUUCACAUUUGGCUGUAGUAGGUUGAGAGCUGUGUUACAGCAAACUAACAUUUUACUUGGCUUUUAAGUAAAUCUUAAUGCAUUUUUAUUGAAACCUUUAAAUUUUUUUAAUAGAGAAAAUCAGAAACAUGUUUCUUAAGGAAAAUGGGUGUAAUGUACUAUGUCAACUCUGCUUGUUGUUCCCCAAGACUUCUACUUGUUUUCCAAGCUGAUGCUAUAGUGCAGUACUGAGGGACCCAUAGAUACCCAGUUAGCAGGAGUGAUCAGUGCACACAAUUCCUCCACAGAGAUCCCACCCUUGCUGGUCUGGUACCAAGCUCAAAGUCUGAUACUGUUUUUCCGUUAGAUUGUCAUCCGUGAUUUCAGUUUCUACUGCUCUUUGUAGCUGUUAGUGAUCACAAAUGUUCUUUGACCUUUAUGUGAUUUCUGUAUUGUGCAAUUGUAUAAUAUACACCCUAACUUAUUACAUUAAAAAAACUGUAGCAAAA
Molecule: non-coding RNA, 7272 nt
Organism: Chrysemys picta bellii (western painted turtle)
Lineage: Eukaryota; Metazoa; Chordata; Testudines; Emydidae
Source: RefSeq, a predicted model, not a curated record